RNAcentral lists this ribosomal RNA (465 nucleotides) under uncultured bacterium. RNAcentral describes it as "partial 16S ribosomal RNA". It matches the Rfam family "Bacterial small subunit ribosomal RNA", at positions 338 to 795 of the family's 1533-position model. The record is from RNAcentral.
CCUACGUGCGGCAGCAGUGGGGAAUAUUGCGCAAUGGGCGAAAGCCUGACGCAGCGACGCCGCGUGAGGGAUGAAGGUCUUCGGAUCGUAAACCUCUGUCAGCAGGGAAGAACGGUCACUGUGCUAAUCAGCAGUGAAUUGACGGUACCUGCAAAGGAAGCACCGGCUAACUCCGUGCCAGCAGCCGCGGUAAUACGGAGGGUGCGAGCGUUAAUCGGAAUUACUGGGCGUAAAGCGCUCGUAGGCGGUAUGUCAAGUCAAGGGUGAAAUCCCCGCGCUCAACGUGGGAACUGCCUUUGAAACUGGCAAACUGGAGUGUGUGAUAGGAUAGUGGAAUUCCAGGUGUAGGAGUGAAAUCCGUAGAUAUCUGGAGGAACAUCAGUGGCGAAGGCGACUAUCUGGCACAUAACUGACGCUGAGGAGCGAAAGCGUGGGUAGCAAACAGGAUUAGAUACCCUAGUAGUC